UACGGGAGGCAGCAGUGGGGAAUAUUGCACAAUGGGCGAAAGCCUGAUGCAGCUAUGCCGCGUGUAUGAAGAAGGCCUUAGGGUUGUAAAGUACUUUCAUCGGGGAGGAAAAAACAAAACUAAUAAUUUUAUUUCUUGACGUUACCCGAAAAAGAAGCACCGGCUAACUCCGUGCCAGCAGCCGCGGUAAUACGGAGGGUGCUAGCGUUAAUCAGAAUUACUGGGCGUAAAGAGCACGUAGGUGGUUUUUUUAAGUCAGAUGUGAAAUCCCUGGGCUUAACCUAGGAACUGCAUUUUGAAACUGAAAUACUAGAGUAUCGUAGAGGGAGGUAGAAUUCUAGGUGUAGCGGUGAAAUGCGUAGAUAUCUGGAGGAAUACCUGUGGCGAAAGCGGCCUCCUAAACGAAUACUGACACUGAGGUGCGAAAGCGUGGGGAGCAAACAGGGAUUUAGGAUACC
This 458-nucleotide ribosomal RNA is filed under the name uncultured bacterium. RNAcentral's name for it is "bacterial SSU rRNA". It matches the Rfam family "Bacterial small subunit ribosomal RNA", at positions 340 to 786 of the family's 1533-position model. The record is from RNAcentral.